UUAAACUAGGGAUUAGAUACCCUAUUAUUAAAAUUUAAAUUUAAAAUACUAAAAUAGUAGAUAAUUAUUUAUUGAAACUUAAAUAAUUUGGCGGUAUUUUAGUUCAUUUAGAGGAAUCUGUUUAAUAAUUGAUAAUCCACGAAUAAAUUUACUUAAUUUUUUUUAUUUUGUAUAUCGUUGUUAAAAAAAUAUUUUUCAAUAAAAAUAAUAUUUAAAAAUUUUAAUUAAAAAUUAAAUCAGAUCAAGAUGCAGAUUAUAAUUAAGAAUAUAAUGGAUUACAAUAAAUUUAUUUAAAUGAAUAUUAAUUUGUAAAAUUUAAUUGAAGGUGGAUUUAAAUGUAA
RNAcentral lists this ribosomal RNA (341 nucleotides) under Spodoptera androgea. Its description in RNAcentral is "partial 12S ribosomal RNA". Lineage: Eukaryota; Metazoa; Arthropoda; Insecta; Lepidoptera; Noctuidae. The record is from RNAcentral.